RNAcentral lists this transfer RNA (74 nucleotides) under Mycobacteroides abscessus subsp. abscessus. RNAcentral's name for it is "tRNA-Ser". RNAcentral also lists the same sequence under 1 other name. The record is from RNAcentral. Lineage: Bacteria; Bacillati; Actinomycetota; Actinomycetes; Mycobacteriales; Mycobacteriaceae.
GGGAAAACAGUAAUGCACUCGCCUUGAAAGCGAGAGACGGCUAACACCGUCCGGGGGUUCAAAUCCCUCCGCCA